Long non-coding RNA from Trachymyrmex septentrionalis, 733 nucleotides. RefSeq lists it as uncharacterized. The record is from RefSeq and is a predicted model, not a curated record. NCBI's taxonomy places the organism in Eukaryota, Metazoa, Arthropoda, Insecta, Hymenoptera, Formicidae. The transcript has 3 exons.
UACGCAUGGCAUAUUAAUUUAAUCGCGCUAAAUAAGAUUUGAACAAGUCUAUAUGUCUGUUUGAGCAAAACAAUGUGUCGUAAUCUUCUUCUUUCGCAGCGUAACGUAUUCUACGAGUAUUCUAACCGACUUCCUUCUGAUAUCUGAACAAAGAGAUAAGCUACCGUUGUGCGUGCUGAAAUACGAAUUUGAAUUUGUAUUCUUCGAAAAUAAUACAGCUGGUUAACGAACAAUCAUAAAAACUACAUGAUAGAACGGGUUAUCAGCCAUUUAGACUUGUUCCCGAAAACAAUGGCGAUGCGUUUUGCUCGUUUCAUUCUUUGUGAGUUUGAUUCUUCGUAGUUCGAAAGACGGUAGAUGGGGGACCUCUUAGAUGCCACCCCAAUGAGACUAAUCCAAAAAAAAGCCAUAGAUAUAGCUUCGUGACUUAGACUUGCAUACCUGUGAAAUUCAUGGAAUUCUUAUGAGAUUUUAAAUCGAUAAUAUCCCCAUAAUACUGUUCAAAUGUUAAUUUUUUAACACAAAGAAAAUUGGAUAAAUCUGUAUUGAGAGAGAAUGAUUUUGUUGUAGGAACAAAUUAAGGGAAAACAAAUAAUAAAUGAUAUUUGUUAAAAAAAACUGUCUCUCAAACGGCGUUUUAUAAGAUAAUGUAAUAAUAAACAUUUGCAAACACGCAUUGUUGUAUAAAAUACUUAAUACAAUGUAUUCGUACUUAAAAUGGUACCCGGUAGUC